GACGGGGGCCCGCACAAGCGGUGGAGCAUGUGGUUUAAUUCGACGCAACGCGAAGAACCUUACCAGGGCUUGACAUCUUCUGAUCGCUUAAGGAAACUUAAGCUUUCCGGAAGGUUUACUUUCCGGACAGAAAGACAGGUGUGCAUGGUUGUCGUCAGCUCGUGUCGUGAGAUGUUGGGUUAAGUCCCGCAACGAGCGCAACCCCUACGGUUAGUUGCUAACGGGUAAGGCCGAGCACUUUAGCUGAACUGCGUUGACAAACGGAGGAAGGCGGGGAUGACGUCAAAUCAUCAUGCCCUUUAUGUCCUGGGCUACACACGUGCUACAAUGGCCUGUACAAAGGGCGGCAAAGGGGCGACCCGGAGCAAAUCCCAAAAAACAGGUCUCAGUUCGGAUUGCAGGCUGCAAUUCGCCUGCAUGAAGGCGGAAUCGCUAGUAAUCGCAGGUCAGCAUACUGCGGUGAAUACGUUCCCGGGCCUU
This 480-nucleotide ribosomal RNA is filed under the name uncultured Desulfotomaculum sp. RNAcentral's name for it is "bacterial SSU rRNA". It matches the Rfam family "Bacterial small subunit ribosomal RNA", at positions 912 to 1382 of the family's 1533-position model. Lineage: Bacteria; Bacillati; Bacillota; Clostridia; Eubacteriales; Desulfotomaculaceae. The record is from RNAcentral.